UACGAAGGGGGCGAGCGUUGUUCGGAUUUACUGGGCGUAAAGGGCGCGCAGGCGGCUCAUUUUGUCAGGCGUGAAAGCCCCGGGCUUAACCUGGGAACUGCGUUUGAUACGGAUGGGCUAGAGUUCGGGAGAGGAGAGUGGAAUUCCCAGUGUAGAGGUGAAAUUCGUAGAUAUUGGGAAGAACACCGGUGGCGAAGGCGGCCCUCUGGACGGAUACUGACGCUGAGGCGCGAAAGCGUGGGGAUCAAACAGG
RNAcentral lists this ribosomal RNA (253 nucleotides) under uncultured bacterium. RNAcentral's name for it is "partial 16S ribosomal RNA". It matches the Rfam family "Bacterial small subunit ribosomal RNA", at positions 524 to 776 of the family's 1533-position model. The record is from RNAcentral.